GUCGAACGCGUUGGCCCAAUUGAUUGAUGGUGCUUGCACCUGAUUGAUUUUGGUCGCCAACGAGUGGCGGACGGGUGAGUAACACGUAGGUAACCUGCCCAGAAGCGGGGGACAACAUUUGGAAACAGAUGCUAAUACCGCAUAACAGCGUUGUUCGCAUGAACAACGCUUAAAAGAUGGCUUCUCGCUAUCACUUCUGGAUGGACCUGCGGUGCAUUAGCUUGUUGGUGGGGUAACGGCCUACCAAGGCGAUGAUGCAUAGCCGAGUUGAGAGACUGAUCGGCCACAAUGGGACUGAGACACGGCCCAUACUCCUACGGGAGGCAGCAGUAGGGAAUCUUCCACAAUGGGCGCAAGCCUGAUGGAGCAACACCGCGUGAGUGAAGAAGGGUUUCGGCUCGUAAAGCUCUGUUGUUAAAGAAGAACACGUAUGAGAGUAACUGUUCAUACGUUGACGGUAUUUAACCAGAAAGUCACGGCUAACUACGUGCCAGCAGCCGCGGUAAUACGUAGGUGGCAAGCGUUAUCCGGAUUUAUUGGGCGUAAAGAGAGUGCAGGCGGUUUUCUAAGUCUGAUGUGAAAGCCUUCGGCUUAACCGGAGAAGUGCAUCGGAAACUGGAUAACUUGAGUGCAGAAGAGGGUAGUGGAACUCCAUGUGUAGCGGUGGAAUGCGUAGAUAUAUGGAAGAACACCAGUGGCGAAAGGCGGCUACCUGGUCUGCAACUGACGCUGAGACUCGAAAGCAUGGGUAGCGAACAGGAUUAGAUACCCUGGUAGUCCAUGCCGUAAACGAUGAGUGCUAGGUGUUGGAGGGUUUCCGCCCUUCAGUGCCGGAGCUAACGCAUUAAGCACUCCGCCUGGGGAGUACGACCGCAAGGUUGAAACUCAAAGGAAUUGACGGGGGCCCGCACAAGCGGUGGAGCAUGUGGUUUAAUUCGAAGCUACGCGAAGAACCUUACCAGGUCUUGACAUCUUGCGCCAACCCUAGAGAUAGGGCGUUUCCUUCGGGAACGCAAUGACAGGUGGUGCAUGGUCGUCGUCAGCUCGUGUCGUGAGAUGUUGGGUUAAGUCCCGCAACGAGCGCAACCCUUGUUACUAGUUGCCAGCAUUAAGUUGGGCACUCUAGUGAGACUGCCGGUGACAAACCGGAGGAAGGUGGGGACGACGUCAGAUCAUCAUGCCCCUUAUGACCUGGGCUACACACGUGCUACAAUGGACGGUACAACGAGUCGCGAACUCGCGAGGGCAAGCAAAUCUCUUAAAACCGUUCUCAGUUCGGACUGCAGGCUGCAACUCGCCUGCACGAAGUCGGAAUCGCUAGUAAUCGCGGAUCAGCAUGCCGCGGUGAAUACGUUCCCGGGCCUUGUACACACCGCCCGUCACACCAUGAGAGUUUGUAACACCCAAAGUCGGUGGGGUAACCUUUUAGGAGCCAGCCGCCUAA
This 1444-nucleotide ribosomal RNA is filed under the name Limosilactobacillus fermentum. RNAcentral's name for it is "bacterial SSU rRNA". It matches the Rfam family "Bacterial small subunit ribosomal RNA". The record is from RNAcentral. Lineage: Bacteria; Bacillati; Bacillota; Bacilli; Lactobacillales; Lactobacillaceae.